ACAUCCAAGGAAGGCAGCAGGCGCGCAAAUUACCCAAUCCCGACACGGGGAGGUAGUGACAAUAAAUACUGAUACAGGGCUCUUUUGGGUCUUGUAAUUGGAAUGAGUACAAUUUAAAUCCCUUAACGAGGAACAAUUGGAGGGCAAGUCUGGUGCCAGCAGCCGCGGUAAUUCCAGCUCCAAUAGCGUAUAUUAAAGUUGUUGCAGUUAAAAAGCUCGUAGUUGAACCUUGGGCCUGGCUGGCCGGUCCGCCUCACCGCGUGUACUGGUCCGGCCGGGCCUUUCCUUCUGGGGAACCUCAUGCCCUUCACUGGGCGUGUUGGGGAACCAGGACUUUUACUUUGAAAAAAUUAGAGUGUUCAAAGCAGGCCUUUGCUCGAAUACAUUAGCAUGGAAUAAUAGAAUAGGACGUGUGGUUCUAUUUUGUUGGUUUCUAGGACCGCCGUAAUGAUUAAUAGGGAUAGUCGGGGGCAUCAGUAUUCAAUCGUCAGAGGUGAAAUUCUUGGAUUGAUUGAAGACUAACUACUGCGAAAGCAUUUGCCAAGGAUGUUUUCAUUAAUCAGUGAACGAAAGUUAGGGGAUCGAAGACGAUCAGAUACCGUCGUAGUCUUAACCAUAAACUAUGCCGACUAGGGAUCGGACGGUGUUAGUAUUUUGACCCGUUCGGCACCUUACGAGAAAUCAAAGUUUUUGGGUUCUGGGGGGAGUAUGGUCGCAAGGCUGAAACUUA
This 730-nucleotide ribosomal RNA is filed under the name uncultured fungus. RNAcentral's name for it is "SSU rRNA". It matches the Rfam family "Eukaryotic small subunit ribosomal RNA", at positions 412 to 1146 of the family's 1831-position model. The record is from RNAcentral. Lineage: Eukaryota; Fungi.